RNAcentral lists this long non-coding RNA (591 nucleotides) under Nicotiana benthamiana. RNAcentral describes it as "long non-coding RNA (NBEN_LNC012016)". Lineage: Eukaryota; Viridiplantae; Streptophyta; Magnoliopsida; Solanales; Solanaceae. The record is from RNAcentral.
ACAGUGUUUGAAUCUACUGAAUCGCAGCAGAAGUUAGCACACAUUUUGGAUCAAAAUGCUCCCAACACUUUUUUGCUUAAUGAAACAGUUACUACAGCUGCAGUAGUGCCAAAGUUGAGUUAUUCUGUUCCAACUUAUAGUCCUGCUGAUCAAGGAGUUUCAACAGAGAGCCAGGAUACAAGUCAGACAGCAUGUUCAGUUAAGUCGAUGGAGGAGAUAUUGAGGGUGGACAAAGGACCUGCUAAGCCUUCCAAAGAUGUACCUAAUACUGGGAAAAUGCAAUUAACUGCAGAUUUUAGUAAACAGACUGGGCAAGCAAAUGAUCAGGAAGUUUUGGCUACUUCAAAUUUUGAGGAUGAGAAACAAUUCGGGCAAGAAAAUGAUCAGGAAGUUUUGGCUACUUCAAAUUUUGAGGAUGAGAAACAAUAACUUUACAGAAGAGGAGGGAGCUCAAAAUUCAGAUCAUCAGCAGACCUCAAGUCAACUGGAAAUUUCAAAACAAGGCAAACAGGUCAUUGCUCCAGCAGAUUCUCUAUCUGCUAAAGAUUCAACUCAAAAUGCACCACAUUUACAGUUUGAAGAGGUCGAGGU